Molecule: ribosomal RNA, 424 nt
Filed under: uncultured prokaryote
Description: bacterial SSU rRNA
Rfam family: Bacterial small subunit ribosomal RNA
Source: RNAcentral
UGGGGAAUAUUGGACAAUGGGCGAAAGCCUGAUCCAGCAAUGCCGCGUGAGUGAUGAAGGCCCUAGGGUUGUAAAGCUCUUUUACCAGGGAUGAUAAUGACAGUACCUGGAGAAUAAGCUCCGGCUAACUCCGUGCCAGCAGCCGCGGUAAUACGGAGGGAGCUAGCGUUGUUCGGAAUUACUGGGCGUAAAGCGCGCGUAGGCGGUUCGAUAAGUCAGAGGUGAAAGCCCGGAGCUCAACUCCGGAACUGCCUUUGAAACUGACGAACUAGAAUCUUGGAGAGGCGAGUGGAAUUCCGAGUGUAGAGGUGAAAUUCGUAGAUAUUCGGAAGAACACCAGUGGCGAAGGCGACUCGCUGGACAAGUAUUGACGCUGAGGUGCGAAAGCGUGGGGAGCAAACAGGAUUAGAUACCCCCGUAGUCC